Molecule: non-coding RNA, 239 nt
Filed under: Lactobacillus kefiranofaciens
Lineage: Bacteria; Bacillati; Bacillota; Bacilli; Lactobacillales; Lactobacillaceae
Description: T-box sequence
Rfam family: T-box leader
About the family: Uncharged tRNA acts as the effector for transcription antitermination of genes in the T-box leader family. T-boxes are found upstream of many aminoacyl-tRNA synthetase genes and some amino acid biosynthetic genes usually in Gram-positive bacteria.
Source: RNAcentral
UUUAGUAUCUUGAAAAGCUGAGUAACUAGAAUCUUAUUUUUAAAGAGAGCUAACAAAGUAGUGAAAGUUAGCAAAUAAGAACUAGUGAAUAUGGGCUUGGAAUGAUAUCUGGUAGUGAUAGUUAGCUAUCAGCGGAGUUGCAUCCGUUAGUAGUGCAGACUAUUUUUUGAUAGUCAGUAAGAUUUAUCAUGUGAAUGAUAAAUGAAUUAAAGGUGGUAACGCGAGCAUUCGCCCUUUGG